Molecule: ribosomal RNA, 478 nt
Filed under: uncultured bacterium
Lineage: Bacteria
Description: partial 16S ribosomal RNA
Rfam family: Bacterial small subunit ribosomal RNA
Source: RNAcentral
GACGAACGCUGGCGGCGUGCUUAACACAUGCAAGUCGAACGGUAAGGCCCUUCGGGGUACACGAGUGGCGAACGGGUGAGUAACACGUGGGUGAUCUGCCCUGCACUUCGGGAUAAGCCUGGGAAACUGGGUCUAAUACCGGAUAGGACUCCUGGCUUCCGGGAUGGGGGGGGAGAGCUGUUGCGGUGUGGGAUGGGCCCGCGGCCGAUCAGCUUGUUGGGGGGGUAAGGGUCUACCAUGGCGACGACGGGUAGCGGGCCGGAGAGGGUGACCGGUCACACUGGGACUGAGAUACGGCCCAGACUCCUACGGGAGGCAGCAGUGGGGAAUAUUGCACAAUGGGCGCAAGCCUGAUGCAGCGACGCCGCGUGAGGGAUGACGGCCUUCGGGUUGUAAACCUCUUUCAGCUAUGACGAAGCGCAAGUGACGGUAGUAGCAGAAGAAGGACCGGCCAACUACGUGCCAGCCGCCGCGGUAA